Long non-coding RNA from Episyrphus balteatus (marmalade hoverfly), 474 nucleotides. RefSeq lists it as uncharacterized. The transcript is spliced from 2 exons. Lineage: Eukaryota; Metazoa; Arthropoda; Insecta; Diptera; Syrphidae. The record is from RefSeq and is a predicted model, not a curated record.
CGGGAAACAACAACAAAUGAUUACUAAGGAUAAAUAGAAGUUUUUUAUUUGUUGGUUUGCAGAGAAAUUUUUUGUCUAAAGCCUUCAACAAUAAAGGAUUUAUUAUAAAUAAAUGAAACACACUUGCAGGAGGAAUUGGGCUUUUUAGCAAUCUGUCUUUGUCUGUUUCCUUUCUACCAUAACUGUUUAUUAAAGAAGAACAAGAAAAAAAAACAACCAAUCAAAUCAAAUCGGAGAAAAACAAAAGGUUUUUUUUUGAAACUGACGUUGGCUAAAAAGCCCAAUAGGGAUAUUUUUUGGUAUUCAGUAGAUUUCCAGGGAAAUUUUAAUGAAGUGCGUUCAGAUAUGUAUUAGAAGUAGGUAGUGCAUUCAGAGACAGGGCCUUAGCCCAUGACGCCAACCAGCCCUGUGUGCAUGUAUAAUUUUGUUCAGUUUGUAAUAAAUACCACUCUGUGGUGUGCUCAUUUUUUCCAA